GCAUAUCAAUAAGCGGAGGAAAAGAAAAUAACAAUGAUUUCCCUAGUAACGGCGAGUGAAGAGGAAAGAGCUCAAAGUUGGAAACUGUUUGGCUUAGCUAAACCGUAUUGUAAACUGUAGAAACAUUUUCCUGGCACACCAGAUUAAUAAGUCCUUUGGAACAAGGCAUCAUGGAGGGUGAGAAUCCCGUCUUUGAUCUGAGUAGUUGUCUUUUGUGAUAUGUUUUCAAAGAGUCAGGUUGUUUGGGAAUGCAGCCUAAAUUGGGUGGUAAAUCUCACCUAAAGCUAAAUAUUUGCGAGAGACCGAUAGCGAACAAGUACCGUGAGGGAAAGAUGAAAAGAACUUUGAAAAGAGAGUUAAACAGUAUGUGAAAUUGUUAAAAGGGAACCGUUUGGAGCCAGACUGGUUUGCCUGUAAUCAACCUAGAAUUCGUUUUGGGUGCACUUGCAGGCUAUACCUGCCAACAACAGUUUGAUUUGGAGGAAAAAAUUAGUAGGAAUGUAGCCUCUCGAGGUGUUAUAGCCUACUAUCAUACUCUGGAUUGGACUGAGGAACGCAGCGAAUGCCUUUAGGCAAGAUUGCUGGGUGCUUUCGCUAAUAAAUGUUAGAAUUUCUGCUUCGGGUGGUGCUAAUGUUUAAAGGAGGAACACAUCUAGUAUAUUUUUUAUUCGCUUAGGUUGUUGGCUUAAUGACUCUAAAUGACCCGUCUUGAAACACGGACCAAGGAGUCCACCAUAAGUGCAAGUAUUUGAGUGACAAACUCAUAUGCGUAAGGAAACUGAUUGAUACGAAGUCUUUUGAUGGCAGUAUCACCCGGCGUCGACGUUUUAACUGAAAUGACCGAGGUAAAGCACUUAUGAUGGGACCCGAAAGAUGGUGAACUAUGCCUGAAUAGGGUGAAGCCAGAGGAAACUCUGGUGGAGGCUCGUAGCGAUUCUGACGUGCAAAUCGAUCGUCAAAUUUGGGUAUAGGGGCGAAAGACUAAUCGAACCAUCUAGUAGCUGGUCUGC
Molecule: ribosomal RNA, 1010 nt
Filed under: Mucor griseocyanus
Lineage: Eukaryota; Fungi; Mucoromycota; Mucoromycetes; Mucorales; Mucoraceae
Description: LSU rRNA
Rfam family: Eukaryotic large subunit ribosomal RNA
Source: RNAcentral